AUGCACGCUGACAGAAUGCUUAACACAUGCAAGUCUUUGGUGAAGCUGUGCUUGCACAGCCUAGCCAAGGCGGACGGGUGAGUAACGCGUAAGGAACUUGCCCUGCAGUCAGGGAUAACAGACGGAAACGACUGAUAAGACCUGGUAAAGUCAGGCGGACUCAUGUCCAGCCUGAUGAAAAGAGAUGCUGCAGGAGAGCCUUGCGUCCUAUUAGCUUGUUGGUGGGGUAACGGCCCACCAAGGCAAUGAUAGGUAGCCGGCCUGAGAGGGUGGACGGCCACAAGGGGACUGAGAUACGGCCCUUACUCCUACGGGAGGCAGCAGUGGGGAAUAUUGGACAAUGGGGGCAACCCUGAUCCAGCAAUUCUGUGUGCACGAUGAAGGUUUUCGGAUUGUAAAGUGCUUUCAGCAGGGAAGAAAAAAAUGACGGUACCUGCAGAAGAAGCGACGGCUAAAUACGUG
RNAcentral lists this ribosomal RNA (462 nucleotides) under uncultured bacterium. Its description in RNAcentral is "partial 16S ribosomal RNA". It matches the Rfam family "Bacterial small subunit ribosomal RNA", at positions 29 to 507 of the family's 1533-position model. The record is from RNAcentral.